Molecule: signal recognition particle RNA, 314 nt
Filed under: Methanimicrococcus sp. OttesenSCG-928-J09
Lineage: Archaea; Methanobacteriati; Methanobacteriota; Methanomicrobia; Methanosarcinales; Methanosarcinaceae
Description: signal recognition particle sRNA
Rfam family: Archaeal signal recognition particle RNA
Source: RNAcentral
CGGUGGGCUAGUCAGGGCAGCUAGGCGUCGCUUGUAACCCGAAAUCGCCGAUACGCGGGUGACGAAGCUAAGGCCAGGUGCAUUGACUUUAUGCCAAGUCCGAAAUCUUAACGUUGAAACCUCGUCCUGCUGGGAAUGUGGUGAUUGCCGAGACAAAAGGAGUUUUGGUUCGGCUUUCUUAAUCGUGGGAACCGGUCCAGGCCCGGAAGGGAGCAGACUUACCGCGGACAACAGUCGCUUGCGGGAUUGCGGGGCGGAGGAGAGUUUUCGGAGACUGCUUAAGGAAGAUGUAUCGAACCGAAGCGUGCUCACCU